CUCACUUUAAGCCACCGAGUUGCUAAUAAUUUAUUACAGUAGCCACAGAAUAUUAAUACGGAGAAUUGUCCAAUACCCUUGAUAGGACGAGUGGGUUAUGUGGAGUGGUGGGGUUUCUGGUGACACAGAAGGUCAGGUAAGACUCAUGGGUCCCAGGAGAAAGGGGCAGCUCCCACCAAGCAGGAAGGGACCCUGAAUUCACAGGAUUUGGGGACCAAGGGUCACCCAUAGCCUGGUGCCCAGGACAUCUCCAGAACUGGCCCCAGAAACCCAGCUUCCAUAGGUGGCUUCCUCCGCCUGUCUAUGGGGACAGAAACCCGCCUCCCAGCGGCAGACACAGCAGGUGCAAGCUGCAGACCAGGGAAGGAUCUCGCUGCCUCUCUUGGCUUGCUCCCAGCCUGCAUCUUUAAACCACCCUACGUGUACCCGGAUGACCUUCCUUCCAGUCAUGGACCUGAGAGCCGAGGCUGAGCUCGGCAAGGGCUCCUGGGAGCCUGUCCCCAACCCUGCUCUGCAGCUGUCCCAGAUGUUCUGACCGUGACCUCCCAUCUGCCCUCAGUGAGCAUGCCCUGCACCCUGAGGGCUCGCUGGGUCCGUCUUAUGGCUCUCCCGGGCUGCUGGUGGUUGGGACCAGGACACAAAGCAGCCACCUUGGGGCAAACAGGAGGCUGCGAGAUGAACGUAUCCAAGUCGGAGCCCUGAAGAAAUCCGGGACGAGAGCACACGGGGUGUUAGCGGCGCUGGCCUUCCUCAGAGCUUGGGCACAGCUCACUGAGGCUGAUAUUCUACAGUGUACUCGCCGGGGGACGGGCAGGGCAUGGCCCCGGGGGGCAGGGGUGCCCCGAGUGCGGGCAAGGCUCGCUUCUGUGCCUGUCUCCCUCUUCCCCGAGGUGCCUCCGCGCUCGUGGGUCUGGCCCUCGAGGACACGCAAGCUUCAGCACUCUCAGGCCAUCCGCCAUUUGGGAGUCGUUGCAGGCGGUGGAGACAACCGCGGGAUCCUUCCAGAGCGGGAAUGAACAAGGGCAGAAUUUGAAUUAGUGAAGAAUAACAUCGCGGGGCGGCGCCAGGGCGUGGGAAAGGUUGGCUUCUUAAUGUCUCUGAGGAAGAGGAGCCAGGAGUGCAAAGGCCGGGAGGCGGGACCAGAGGCCGUCGGGAGGCCGCGUCGGCCAAGGGGAGGAUAUGGGCUUGAUCGGGAGACUCGCGACGACGGGUCCUGGGCCUGGCGCCCCCCACGCGGGCCCCUGGGAAGGCGGGAGCCAGAACUAGGGCCGACUGACCGGCCGGAACUGAAGGCCGGAGCUGCAGGCGCCGGCCCGGACCCCGGGCGAGCGGACCGGAAGCCCGAGGGCUCCGCCCCGAGGCCUGCGCACCCCGGAGGGGACGGAACGGCUGCGGCGGCCGCGCUGGGCGCUCGGAGGGGCCCGGGUCCCUGGUACGCGCCCCACGACACUUCCCCGAGGGGCGGGGGGCCCGCUCCGGUCCCCUGGUCCCCGCACGCAGCGCGGAGCCCUCUUCCCUCCGCCUUCGGGCCGCGGCACGGAGGGAGAAGUGCCUCUGCCCGAGAGCCGGGCCCGUAGGGAACCGAGGUCCCGCCGCGCGCGGCCGUCCCUCCCCAGGACUCCCAGCCGUCCUGCCGGCCGCGGCCAGCCACGCCCGCCCGGCGGGGCGUUAACUCCGUGGGCGCCCGGGAGGCGGCGUCCCAAAUUCAGCGGUCCCGCCUUCCCCGGCAAAGCCGGUGUUUGGUAGCCCUUGCUUCCAGGCAGACUUCCGGGGAUCCGGGCCCAGAAGGGAUCUGCCUUGUGUAGCCUCGCUAGGGGACGAAGAGCUGGGGAUGGGAGACGUGUGGGUCGCUCUGAAAAGACAGGGGGAGCCGGCUGUUCUCUGGACCAGUGACAUCUCUGGAAUCGCUGGGGUGGGCUCCAGCCUGGACAAGUCAGGGCCCGGUUUGGAGUCCUGUGUGGUACUUAGCAUGCUGAAGGAAGAUGGAUGGAGCCGGCACGGAAGAGCACGUGGAGGGCCGCCGCCCAUGUGCCCACCCUGGCAGCACACGAAGGACUUGCCCAGAGUUGCCCACGUGAAGGAGUGCAGCCCCGCCUAUGUGAGUGUGUGUCGGGAAGUGAGCAGUUUCCACUAAUGGCCGAAGGCCCGGCGCAUUACCUGCGGCUUUCACUGCCGGGUCCUCCGGGGCUCGAUGAGGAUUACCCAAAUCGGGACGUCUCAUGCCUGUGGGUGCACUGCUGUUGACGGAGCUUCAAGCGCUUGCAGAAAAGGAGUUCCUGCUCUGACUGCACAGGAAGGGCCUCGCCUUGGAUGAAUUAUCUGGUGUCUGGCCACCGCACAAAGGCCUUUCUGCUGUUGAGGCGGACUGAAGGUGGGUACCGGUGCUGGGGGUGUGCCUAGGUGGGGGCUGGCUACAGGCCCUGGGGAAGGACUGCAUGCCCUUCCCCCGCUUACAGAAGCCUGUUGCCUGAGUGGACUGCCCCACAGCCCAGGGCCACUGCUGGGAGCAGCACCAGGAAAGCCAGUCACUCCACUCACAGGCCACAUACAGAGGGCUUCAGGAGGGAGAACCCCGGUCGUGCACGUUACUGGAGAGCAGGUGGAGUCCCACAUGAGGAAUCCAACUCCCUCAAAUUAUAAGAUCACCGGACCGGGGCUCGUGCCAAAGCCGCAGCCCUCGGAGCCUGUGUGCUAAGAAAGUUGUCCUGCCACCCGCCAACACCUCCCAGGCCCCUCGCCUGAGGGGGCAGAGCCCAGCGCUGUCCUCUGCCAGGAGCCUUGGCUCCACCUUGGGUCUCUUCUAAAGGCCCAAGGCAGUUCCCUGGAUUCAGUCUCAGGGACUCUUCCCGGCUCAGCAUCCUGGGCAGGAGCCUACAUCCUGGAGCUGGCCUUCAAUUCAGAAUCCUAGCUGGAAGAGUUGAAGAGAAACGGACAGGCUGGCAAUCCCCACGAGGGCAAAAGGGUGCCAGAAGUCACGGAGCAAACCCAAGCAGCCGCAGGAAUCUUGGAUAGCUUGGCCAGAUUUCCUCAAGACUCCUGAAGUCUGUAAAAGAUGAGAGACAUAAAGAAAGGAAUUUCAGCAGGACCUGAGGGCAGCCAGCUCAGUGGGUAGCGGUCAGGGGUGGGUCACCUCUUUGUCUCUCUAGGCUUGGUUCCUCCCCUACCCUGUCUGCUCUCACCUGUCUGACCACUGACCCCCUGCUGGUUUCUGCCUCCCUCUUACUCAUCUUCAUCCCCAGCUGCCCAGUAGAAGCUUCCACAUUGUCCCCCAGACACGCCAUACCCAGCUCCAGCUGUUUGGUGGCUGUACCAAAGCCGUGCUGGGAAUUGCUGCGAACCAGGCUUUAGAGUCUAGGAUAGGUGAGGCCUAGUCAGAAAAAUGGACCCCAAAGAUGUCUGCAUCCUACUCCCCACUGCCUGUCACUAUGACCUCCUGCAGCAAAAGGGACAUUUGCAGACGUGAUGUAAAACCACCAGGGGGCGCAUGAAGGGCUCAGUUGGUUAAGCAUCCGACUUUGGCUCAGGUCAGGAUCUCAUGGUCCAGUGGUUCCAGCCCUGCAUC
This is an RNA transcript of Suricata suricatta (meerkat), 3562 nucleotides long. It is a transcript of the gene named spidroin-2-like, with no coding region annotated. The transcript has 2 exons. The record is from RefSeq and is a predicted model, not a curated record. Lineage: Eukaryota; Metazoa; Chordata; Mammalia; Carnivora; Herpestidae.